RNAcentral lists this microRNA precursor (60 nucleotides) under Ptychodera flava. Its description in RNAcentral is "Pfl-Mir-4829-P1_pre stem-loop". The record is from RNAcentral. Lineage: Eukaryota; Metazoa; Hemichordata; Enteropneusta; Ptychoderidae.
CAGACAUUCGCAAGAGCACAUUUUGACACUAACAAUAAUGUACUCUUCCUAAUGCCUGGC